GGUAGUUCCCGGGUGACACACUCCAGAAUCGGGCUCCCUCCUCUCUAGUUCUGGGUGCGUCACCUGAGAACUGCA
This is a non-coding RNA of Myotis brandtii (Brandt's bat), 75 nucleotides long. Lineage: Eukaryota; Metazoa; Chordata; Mammalia; Chiroptera; Vespertilionidae. The record is from Rfam.